AGCUCCAAUAGCGUAUAUUAAAGUUGUUGCGGUUAAAAAGCUCGUAGUUGGAUUUCAGUUCUGGACUGACGGUUCACCGCCCGGUGCACACUGUCACGCUCCGAACAGCCACAACAGCCCGCUGGCUCGCACGGGGUGCUCUUUACCGGGUGUCCCGCGUGGCCGGCAGAGUUUACUUUGAAAAAAUUAGAGUGCUCAAAGCAGGCUACAUUGACGGCCUGAAUGCCUAUGCAUGGAAUAAUGGAAUAGGACCUCGGUUCUAUUUUGUCGGUUUUCUGAACCCGAGGUAAUGACUAAUAGGAACAGGCGGGGGCAUUCGUAUUGCGACGCUAGAGGUGAAAUUCUUGGACCGUCGCAAGACGAACUACUGCGAAAGCAUUUGCCAAGGAUGUUUUCAUUA
Molecule: ribosomal RNA, 400 nt
Filed under: phytoplankton environmental sample
Lineage: Eukaryota
Description: partial small subunit ribosomal RNA
Rfam family: Eukaryotic small subunit ribosomal RNA
Source: RNAcentral